CUUUCUUUUGAGUCUGUUUCUUCCUUGGAGCCAGUUACGCCAACAGAUUUGAAUGGAACAGCAGUGAUUUUCACACUCUUGUGUUUGCUUCUGCCGUGUGCCAGUUGUGCCAGAAAUUCUAAACAAGAUGGUAGUAUUUGACUAGAGGCUGUGUCUUGAGGGUGAUCAGAAGGGAAUUUGGAAAUCAGAAAUUUCAUCAUUUCCUUAGAAGGCACAAAUCAUUAUACGAGAAGAGGCAAAACGGCAAAACCCUAGAGGCGAUUCAUCUGUUUUGUGGCUCAAUUUCAUCAAAUCAUUCGAUCUCCCAUCUACACUCAGGCAUGGAUAAUGGGGUAUCCAGUUCUCGUAAGAAAAAGAAUGACAAGGUUGAUUCGUCAAAACAAAGGCGAAUUUGGAGCCCAUGUGAAAAGGAUGUUCUAAUUUCAGCAUUAGUGUCCAUUGUUAAUGAAGGAAUGAAAGUUGAUAAUGCUUUUUAAGGUGGGCUAUCUUGCGAGACUGGAAACUAAAUUGGCAGAUAUCUUACCUGGGACAGACUUACAGCAGUCCCCAUAUUGAAUCAAAAAUUAAAAUAUGGAAGAAGCACUAUAAUUCUGUGUCCGGUAUGCUUGCUACUAGUGGGUUUGGAUGGAAUGGCACCGAAAAAAGAAUCGAUGUGGAGAGUGAUAGUGUAUGGGAGGCAUAUGCUUGGAGGGACACUGAAGCAAAACACUUGAGGAACAAAACUUUCCCAUAUUUUGAUGAAUGGAUUCAAAUAUUUGGCAAGGACCGAGCUACAGGGGAGUUUGCUGAAGGGCCUGCUGAUGCAGUUGAGAUUAUGAAUGCUGAGGAAGUGUGUUGUUGCAUGGCCUUGCAGAUAAUGACACUUUUUUUGAACAAAAGGGAGUAAAUAGUCACACUGGUGAAGGAAUGGAUUGUUCAAACUCAGCAACUCAAUUGGCUUGUGAGAGCUCUGCCAAAAAGAAAGACAAGAAAAGAUCUAGAUCUGAUAAUGAUGUAGUUGAAGAGCUGUCUAUGUUUGCUGACAAGUUAAUGGAUGUCAUGGGUAAAACCAAUGAGAAGUUGGAAUUCAUUGGAAAAAGGAUGGGGUAUUCACAUGAUGUCGCAUCAAAACGAGCAUCAUUGAAUGAUGAACUUACAAAGUUGCCAAUUAUCGUAGAUGAAAGGUUAGAUGCUUGCGAAAUCAUAUCCUAUGAUGUCCAAAAGCUUGACAUGUUCUUCAACUUGACACGUGAUGAUAGGCUGAGGUGGGUAAUGAGGUUGCUAAGUAGGAAUGCUCCAUAACAAACUUGUGGCAUGUGAUGGGAAUAUUUGGUUUUUGAGUUAUGCUCCGUAGACUUAAUUGUUGUUUUUUCUAUUCGUCAAGCACCAUAUUUUGUGGGUUAAAUUAUUCUAUCAUGAUUUGGUGCCUUUGACUCAUCUAGUCAUGGGAUAUUUUUGUUUUUGUUG
This is a non-coding RNA of Camellia sinensis, 1446 nucleotides long. The record is from RefSeq and is a predicted model, not a curated record. NCBI's taxonomy places the organism in Eukaryota, Viridiplantae, Streptophyta, Magnoliopsida, Ericales, Theaceae.